This 253-nucleotide ribosomal RNA is filed under the name uncultured bacterium. RNAcentral's name for it is "partial 16S ribosomal RNA". It matches the Rfam family "Bacterial small subunit ribosomal RNA", at positions 524 to 776 of the family's 1533-position model. The record is from RNAcentral.
UACGGGGGGGGCAAGCGUUGUUCGGAAUUACUGGGCGUAAAGGGUUCGUAGGUGGCUUGCUAAGUCAGACGUGAAAUCCCUCAGCUUAACUGGGGAACUGCGUCUGAUACUGGCGAGCUUGAGUGCAGGAGAGGAACGCGGAAUUCCAGGUGUAGCGGUGAAAUGCGUAGAUAUCUGGAGGAACACCAGUGGCGAAAGCGCGUGACUGGGCCACAACUGACGCUGAGGAACGAAAGCCAGGGGAGCGAAAGGG